Echinops telfairi (small Madagascar hedgehog) is the source of this 1010-nucleotide long non-coding RNA. RefSeq lists it as uncharacterized. The record is from RefSeq and is a predicted model, not a curated record. NCBI's taxonomy places the organism in Eukaryota, Metazoa, Chordata, Mammalia, Afrosoricida, Tenrecidae. The transcript has 3 exons.
CAUGCUGCAUGGGAAGAAUUGGAGGAAAUUAUGCUAAGCGAAGUAAGACAAGCACAAACGGACAAGUAUAGCAGGAGUCCGCUGAGGUGGUCGCUCCAGAUGACACGUCCAAAGUACUUCAGAUGAAGUCUUUAGAGAUACCAGACACAGACUUCAAACUACGUUCAUGAUAACUGGAGCAGAGCGCCAACAACGUGAAACUGAGAACUCAACAAUCCACAUCAGAUUUAGGCCCAGCGGCUUCCUGGUCUGAGUCUGCUUCCACACGGCUCUGAGCGAUUUCACGUGGACUUCCCGCCGCUCCCUGGGAAAAGCAGGGGCUGCUAGAAGCUGCCAAGGAGGAGAAAUGGUGGGCGGGUAGUGUGGGCGCCACUCCCUGUGGAUAGUGAGAUGCCGGGCUAAGAUAUGCUGAGGCUCCCUGGAAGUGGUGGGGCCUGUGCCCCAGUUGUCAGUGCAGAAGUGACUGUGUGGGGGUGGAGGUGACCCAAGCACUGGUGCUGGGUGCACCUAGCCGCAGGCACACAGACCAGCUGCAGGUUCGGCCCUGGGGCCCUGGGCAGCUGCCUGGAGGGACCAGAGCUUGCAGGCGGAAUCGUUACUAGCCCCGUGGAGAGAGGGGAACUGUGGGAGACAGGCGCAUCGCCCCCAGGUGGGAGCCACGAGUGGACAGCUGCUAUGUGGUGGUCAGGCCCGGCCUUGGGGAGCUCUACACAAUAACUGUCCUGGGGCAGCGACCAGGCCAGGGGUUGAGUGGGGGGAGGCACUGGCUGAUGGCAGGGAGCACAAGAGUCACACCGCCGGUGGGAAAUCCCUGAUAUAUGGACCCAGCUUUCUGGGGCUUGAAAUAAAGCAGAUGCCGGACAAGGCACCCUCCUGGACACUUCCACUUGACCUCCCCGGCCCCAGACUCAACGGAGCUCCCCGUAUUGUCUGCUUACCUUGGUGACAUCUUGACCGGAACCCUCUCUGAAGUGUUUUUUAAGAUGUACAAAUAAAGGUGAUGGUAAAGU